GUACAGCCCAGAGAGGUAUCAGCUCGUAGCCCCUCGAGUCCUGCCACGGACUCCGCAGAGGUGGACGCGCCGCGGAGUUGGGGGACGGCUCCCCCAAGCAGCCCGCUCUUCACCGCGCGGAAGCAAACUUAGCGGCGCGGCCAGCCCCACAGCCAUUUUCCCGGGAACCCGAGGAAGCGGACGAGGAGGCGGCUGCAACUGCGGCGGCGGUUCCUGCAGUUGCUGCCGCUGGUCAAUGGCUGGCCCCUUCCCUUGCGCUCGCCGUGCCACUUGCCUAGCAUCCCUCUCCCCACCUCCAAAGCUUCCAACUGCACCGGGACCUCGGGCAGCAGCAGCUGCUGCUACUGCCACUUCGUCCAUUCAGUAUCCCCGGAUUCCCCUCUCCCCACCUACCAACUGCGGGUGAAGUGCGCGCUGUCAGCUCCAGAGUCCUCCUCCCCUCUGACCUCCGUGGGCCCCCGUCCGGGCAGCACCACUCCCAGCCGCGGCUGCAGUUCCUGCGCCGGGUUCCCCACUCGCCCCGAUUUACUGCCACAAUCCACCAAAUAACAAGCUGUUGAGCAGACUCGCUUCUACACGAACUCCUAUUGGCUGCUCAUGACGCCGAAGAGCUUCGGAUAGGACCUCGCUACCUGCCGUCCUCAUUGGAUGUAGCUGUGAAACUUCAUGGAUUGGUGAGAAAAACAGCAGAAUAAGACUGAUUUUAUGGGAAAAUUAAGCAGAUGCUCCAGUUUGAGAAACCUGGAUCUGCGAUCUGUUUGUGGUACCAGCAUCAAGAUGAUUUAUGGUAAUAAGGACCAUGGCAGAAUUAAUUCCAAGCGUCAGAAGAGCCAUUAGAUGACUUGGAGCAAGCAAGACAGAUGGAACCUAGAAAAUAACAAAAUCAAUACAACAAAACCGGAAUGAGUGUCAUUAUUUGAAGGUAUUUGCCUUAUAUCCAAAUAUAUUUGAAAAAAUUCACAGGAACAUUAUAUUAAUUUAUAUGGUGAUACCUACUCAACCAUUUUAUGAGAGUAAUUAAGAACUAGUUUGUUGAUUUAUAUAAAUUCACUCAAUAACCAAAAUACACUGUAAUAAAAAUAGCUCAACUGUUUCAUUCCAAAAUGACAAUUAUGAAGCAUUUUUCUUUAUUCUUGUUCUCUUUUGGAAGGGAAAAUUGAAAGGGAUAAAAGAAGAGGUCUAGAGGCUGGGCACAGAGGCU
This 1201-nucleotide long non-coding RNA is filed under the name Homo sapiens (human). Its description in RNAcentral is "non-protein coding PSMA3-AS1:26". The record is from RNAcentral. Lineage: Eukaryota; Metazoa; Chordata; Mammalia; Primates; Hominidae.